UCACAGGUCAGACAAGGGCAGCAUGUCUGAAGACUGCGGGCCAGACCUCUGGGGAGCUGGGUGGGCUGAGGCCGAUCAAAAUUGAACCAGAGGUUCUGGACAUCAUUCAGGUCACUGUCGAUGCCUUGCCAACCUCUGAGGAAAUGACAGACUCAAUGCCUGGGCACCUGCCAUCGGAGGAUUCUGGUUAUGGGAUGGAGACGCUGACAGGUA
RNAcentral lists this long non-coding RNA (213 nucleotides) under Homo sapiens (human). Its description in RNAcentral is "non-protein coding lnc-SRRM3-4:2". The record is from RNAcentral. Lineage: Eukaryota; Metazoa; Chordata; Mammalia; Primates; Hominidae.